This 10438-nucleotide long non-coding RNA is filed under the name Homo sapiens (human). RNAcentral's name for it is "HSALNT0311406". Lineage: Eukaryota; Metazoa; Chordata; Mammalia; Primates; Hominidae. The record is from RNAcentral.
GUUUCUCUUUUGAGUUGCUAUAAAGUACAGACGAUUCUACCAACCUUGACACAAACGCCCAGCUGCCCCCAGUUCAGUGCCACAGAGAAAAGCCUUGCAGAACAGGUUGAGUUUGUGGAUGGGCAUGGGGUAGAAGGUAUCAUCUCUUCUCUAUCAAUGACUUGGGUGAUACUUCUGGCAACAAAACAGACAGUUCUCGGCCUCUGUGUUUUCAUUGUCCAACUGAAGAUUAGACAAGAGGCAGCAUGGGGUGGUGGAUAAAUCGUGGACCAGGAUUGAAGCGAAGAUCUGCUCAUCUGGGACACUCACCAGACGGAGUCUUGCUCUGUCGCCCAGGCUGGAGUACAGAAGUACAGUGGCGCGAUCUGCAACCUCCGUUUCCUGGGUUCAAGCAAUUCCCCUGUCUCAGCCUCCCGAGUAGCUGGGACUACAGACCCAUGCCAUCAUACCCAGAUAAUUUUUGUAUUUUUAGUAGAGACAAGGUUUCACCAUAUCAGUCAGGCUGGUCUCGAACUCCUGACCUCAGGUGAUCCCCCUGCCUUGGCCUCCCAAAGUGCUGGGAUGACAGGCGUAAGCCACCUCGCCUGGCCAGUUUAUCAAUUUCGUUAAGCUUUCCAAAUAAUCAAAUGUGUUGGUCCUGUUGAUUUUUCUCUUUCAUAUGUUCGCUUUCUAUUUUAUUAAUAUCUAUGUUUUUCUGUAUUCUUUCCAUUUAUUUACCUUCUUUUUGUAAUUAUCUGAGAUGAAUAAAUCUUGGCUUGGUAAUUAUAUAUAGAAUUACUAAGCUGAGAUUCAGAGAAGAGGGAUGAACCUGGAACUUGGAGCCACUUUUGCCCAGGAGAUAAUUUAUAUAUACAUGUAUAUAUAUUCAGUGUAUGUACACAUAAAUGAGGGCGGUUGGCUCUAAGCAACAAACACUCACCUCUGCAUAACUUAAGCACAAAAUAGCCACUCACAGAAUGGAAGGAAGGGCUGAAGAACCAGGUUUCAAAGAGAAUAGGUGCGAGGGCAGGCCAGGGAUCUGGGAAGCAGAAACUACUAUUUUUUUAUUGCUCUGUUCAAAAGUCAAAUUCCAAGAAGUGAGCAUCUGAUCUGUGUCAAGUGCCCACCUCUUGGCUAGGAGCAGGUAGGGCAGACUGCAUGCAGUGAGAAAGACUGGUUCCUCUGAAGCAAAUUCAGAGGCUAUUUAUCAGAAGAUUUGGGAAUGAAUAAUGGGCAGACAAAAAUAACAAAUGUUCACUGUAGAGAGAGAAAAAGAAAUACAGCAGGAGAGACACAGGAGCAAGGAAGCAGAAGAGAAAGAAAGAAAAGUGGAGAGAAAUUGGUAAAAUGAGGUGGGGUGGUUUGGAUGUGUGAGCCAUCCGAAAUGAGAGAAUGUGCCAACCAUCAAGAAAAAUCAUUGAAGCUCUUCCCCUAUCCAGGGACACAUAUGACUUUUGUCAGUCUUCAUGGGCCCCUUCCUCCAUUAAAAAUACUAAAAAUUGGCUGGGCGCAGUGGCUCAUGCCUGUAAUCCCUGCACUUUGGGAGGCCGAGGCGGGUGGAUCACGAGGUCAGGAGGUUGAGACCAUCCUGGCUAACAUGGUGAAGCCCCGUCUCUACUAAAAAUACAAAAAAUUAGCCGGAUGUGGUGGCAGGCGCCUGUAGCCCCAGCUACCUGGGAGGCUGAGGCAGGAGAAUGGCAUGAACCCGGGAGGCGGAGCUGCAGUGAGCCGAGAUCGCACCACUGCACUCCAGCCUGGGCGACGGAGCAAGACUCCGUCUCAAAAAAAAGAAAAAUUAAAAAUCAUAUUUUAUGACGGUAUUGGUAUAAAGACAAAUGUAAUUCAGACUGGAUUUAUUGUUAUGUAUCAUGAUUAUUAUAUUCAUGUUUUUCUUCUGAUCUUAAAAGGAAUCAAAAUUAAGACAUUUUUAUGAACCCCUAAAAGUAUCGUGGGCCCUAGAUGCUCUGCCUACUCCUUCUUCUCUUCUGUAAGAUGCAGCUUGCAUUGGCAUUUGCUGCCGUCUCCAUGCACGUCAGUCCAUCUUCCAGCUGCCAGCACCCAAAGCACUUUGCCCGAGAGCUCUCUCUGGCUGCUGGAGGCAGCUAUUUGACAUCCUUAUCCCACAGCUCUUAAACAAUAGGUAAUGGGAGAUGGUAUUUAAAUACCCCAAAUCCUUACCCCUCAGAGGCACAUGUUCUUCAUCAACUCCCAGAGGACCUAAGCAAGAUUAACCUCUAGUCCCCCAGUGUGGUAACUUGGUUAGUAUGAACUUCUGUUGGCUACUUUCCCUUUCCUGUUUCACUCCUCCACUGCCCUGCCAGUGGUUUCCGGGAUCUCCUCCCCUCAAAAAAACAUUCACACUCAAAUCCUUGUCUCAGUCUGCUGCUGGGAGAACUCAAACUGAGACACCACAGAGACAGUUCAGAUAUGAGUCCCUGUCCAAAUCUCAUGUUGAAUUGUAAUCCCCAGUAUUGGAGGUAGGGCCUGGUGCAGGUGAUUCAGUCAAAGGGGUGGAUGCAGGUGAUUAAGUCAAAGGGGUGGAUGCAGGUGAUUAAGUCAAAGGGGUGGAUGCAGGUGAUUAAGUCAAAGGGGUGGAUGCAGGUGAUUCAGUCAAAGGGGUGAAUUUCUCAUGAGUGGUUUAGCGCCAUCCCCUUGGUGCCAUCACUACUCGUGAUAGUGAGUGACUUCUUGCAAGAUCUGGCUAUUUAAAAGUGUGUGGCACCUCGCUCUCUCACUCUUGCUCCUGCUUUCACCAUGUGGCAUGCCUGCUCUGCCUUAGCCUUCUACCAUGAAGCUUCCUGAAACUUCUCUAGAAACCUAGCAGACAUUAGCACCAUGCUUCCUAUGAAGCCCGCAGAAGCAAUUAAACCUCUUUGUAAAUUACCCAGUCUCAGGUAUUUCUAUAUAGCAAUGCAAGAACAGCCUAACACAACUCCACUUCAGGUUAGCUUGCACUGGGGCAUGAGGAAACAAAGCUCUCUAAAAUAUCAGCCUUACAACCAAAUACAAAGGGCUAGUGACUUCACUCUGCAGAGAGGGGAAGGACAAAGAGUCUUCUACUAAUUAUUUUCUUACAGAGCUGUGACCUUGUUGGGAGGGGUAAUCUGGCCUUGAAUAUUUCCUUGGUUCACUGUUGUGAAAAUAUUAUUCCAGAAGUUUUUCUGGUCAUCGGACUUUCUUAGCCUGGCAUUUAUUCUUGUUUCAAUUUCAUAUGAAAACUUUAGUGUUGGCCAAAGAAUGCUGGACUAUUUAAUUCUAUCAAAGCCUGGUGAAAUCUUUCUUCCUGGUGUUUUGGCUGGCGGAGUUACUUAAUUUGUACAAACCAACAGCAACAGGGCAAAGCACUUUGACAAUAUAAAGGGUUAUGGAAGGAAUAAUUCACAUUAAUCAUCUGAGUUAUGCUUUCAUUUGCUUUAAUGUGGUGGAUUUGGCCAUGGGGGCAGUAGGUCUUAUGACUGCCCCUCAGAAUAAAAGUUUAAAGGAAUGUGUAUUUCUGGAAAAUCACUUUUCUGUAACACACCCAGAGUUCUUUUAAAGAUACUUUAGUUUGCAAAACUUCAAAUGAAGAGCCAUUAUUUACUUUAUAAUCCAAGGCAGAGCCAAUGGGAAACCCUGGGAGAGAAGAAGCUGGAGGAAUCAUACAUGUUUUCAUGGUGGAACUUUGCAACAAAUGUAAUUUAUUUUUUCUUUAAAAUAGUUCUUAUGGUUUUUCCCACAUUGUUACAUGGGCAAUUUUCAUCUCUGGUGUUCCUAAGGAGUCAGAUCACAAAACAGCAUAAUGCUUAACAACAUGAGCUUCAAACUCAGAAAGAUCUGGGUUUGAAUCCUACCACUUGUGUGUGACUUUGGACUGGUUACCUAACCUCUCUAUACCCCUGUAGACUGAAGAUAAUUAUUUUACCCUCCUCAUAUACACAUGAGGUUAGUGAGGGUAUAAAAAAUAAUGCACAACAGUACUUAGCAUGCACUGAAUGUAUUAUGUACUAACUAUUACUAUUUUUUGUUUCUUGAUCUUAGCCAAUGUUCCCUUAACCUGAAUCCCUCUAAUAACUUUUCUAGACACUCAUAACAUCCUCAGCAACUACCAAGCAGUUUCCACUCAAGGCCAGCGUGUCCUCUGCAUGGCUGAUCAUCUGGUGUAAGAUCUAGAGCUACAAAAUCCUGCCCACACCUUCGAGUCUCCUGGGAGCCUGAUCCCAAGCUUCUGUCCCCUUGUCCACCAUGUCAGACACUCUUUAGGAUUAGGUGACUAGGGUGGGACUUGGUCAAGUCUGGUGUUAUGAUCUCUAAAGGCCACUAAAAAGCUAACUGGCCACCUACAAGGGAUUUGAGGGCUUGCCUCAACCUUUUCGCCUUAGUGAAGGCAAGGUAAUUAGGUGACACAAUGAGCAGAGGCCUGGAGCACGGAGAGGCAAGAAAAGUAAACUUCAGUAGGGGAUACUGAGGGUACAUCAGAACCCCAAGACGUCCAAGGCAACCAGGGCACACAGGGAAAAGACGAGGGUAGGCCGUGGUCAGAGCUGUCCAGAUGAAGUCCAGAAGUGAGAUGGCCACCAGAGAUGAGUAUGAACUUUGACAUCCUCAACAGUCAACCCAGAUGACCCAGGAGCUCAAAGUAACAACCACAAAAAUAGUAACACAUUCUACUGGUCUUUUGCUUUAUCUCUGAUACGGUUUGGCUGUGUCCCCACCCAAAUCUUAUCUUGAACUGUAGCUCCCAUAAUUCCCAUGUGUCAUAGGAGGGACCUGGUGGGAGGUAAUUGAGUCAUGGAGCAGGUCUUUUCUGUGCUGUUCUCAUGAUAAUAAAUAAGUCUCACGAGAUCUGAUGGUUUUAAAAGGGCAGUUCCCCUGCACAUGCUCUUGCCUGCCACCAUGUAAGACAUUGGCUUUGCUCCUCAUUUGCCUUCCACCAUGACUGUGAGGCCUCCCCAGCCAUGUGGAACUGUGAGUCAAUCAAACUUCCUUUUUUUUUUUGAGAUGGAGUUUCGCUCCUGUUGCCCAGGCUGGAGUGCAAUGGCAAGAUCGCGGCUCACUGCAACCUCCGCCUCCCAGGUUCAAGCGAUUCUUCUGUCUCAGUCUCCCGAGUAGCUGGGAUUACAGGCAUGCACCACCAUGCCCAGCUAAUUUUGUAUUUUUAGUAGAGACAGAGUUUCUCCAUGUUGGUCAGGCUGGUCUCGAACUCCCGACCUCAGGUGAUCCGCCUGCCUCGGCCUCCCAAAGUGCUAGGAUUACAGGCGUGAGCCACCGCACCUGGCCAAACUUCUUUCCUUUGUAAGUUACCCAGUCUCAGGCAUGUCUUUAUUGACAGAGUGAGAACAAACUAAUAUAAUCUCCAUAUCUGGUAGAGUGCUAAGCAGUGGCUGCUUCAUGUAAUAGUCACCAACAUCCAUGUGUGUUUCUGGGGCAGAAGUGCCAAGGCAGAGCCCGCAGUCAGCAGUGGGAGAUCUGGGAAGAAGUCUCCACCUCAGCCCUUCCAUUCACAAGCUGAGCGACAAGGGCAAACCACACAGCCUCCUGAAUCUCAAUAGAUUCACUCUGCUGGGCAGUGGGGAGAGCCAAAUGAGGCAGGGCACAUGAGCUGCUCUGUAAACUUUACAGGGUCGUGCGAAUAAUAUGUGACUCAACUUACUGUGCUUAACCCAGGGUCUGGCACCUGUAGUAAGGUGUUAAUAUUGAAGUUUCCACAGACACAAUGAAACACAAUAGUGUGAAAUUCCAAAGCCAGAUCUCUCAUGCAAAAAUUAUAAGGAAAAUUGUGAGGAACUGGUUUCAUAACUUCUAAGUCCCCUCUUACCUACUCUGGGAAUACAAAAAGAGAGAGAGAGAAUGAGAGAAUUUUGAACAUGUGUGUGAGUAUGUCUGAUGUAUUCAUUUUUCAGAGAAAGCUGUGGUCAUGUCAUGAGGCUUCCCACUCCACCCAUGGGAAAGAGGGGCCCCAGGAGCUGAGGGGAGAUGCUGGAUCUCUAGGGGCUGUGGAAGAGCCCUCAACUGACUCCUGGAAGCGAGAAGCAUCUGUUAGGAUGAAGGGAACACCCAGUGAAGGGCCAACAGGAGACCUUCAAGGAGCCCCCAGAUGCUCCCUAAGAAAAAUGAUCAGCUCCAAACACCUGCCAUACCAAGAAAAAACAGAUCUAGUUCUAUUCACAAUCAAGCAGAUUUUUCCUGCUCCUACAUCUCCAUUCUCCCUCUGCAGCUACCCCUGACAGUCAGCAACUGUCCACCACGUUGGGCUCUGUACAGACUGAUGGUUCUGUAUUGUGAAUAUACUCUCCCCAGAGACACUGUUCAACUGCAGAAAUCUGCCCCUGUGCCUUUAGAAUUCACCAGCAUCCUGGGGUGAAAGAGAUCCAAGGGAAGUUUUACCUUUCUCUCUGCCUCUUGGCAGGCAACCUGGAACAAGUCUUGAUGCAUGAUCCCAAACCAGACUAGCUACAUAAUCUGUGGGGCCUAAGUAAGCACUUAUAGAGGAGUCCGGAAUGUGGCUGCCUUUGAGGGAGAUCUUCCUUAAACUGCACCCUUCACAGUGAAUUAAACAAGCAUCAGCCAGCAGUUCUCUUCUACCUCCUUCAAGCAGGAAACUAAGGCAAUGGGAGCUGACUAGUGGCCGUUGUAACAGGGGAAUUCUAUGAAUGCAAGAAAGUCUCAGCCCAGCAAUGUGGCCAUGGGUCCCAGAGGAAAAAAUUCCUUGGCAGGUAGUCUUCAUGUGAGAGCUCGGGACGGCUGGAACAUUUAUUUACCUGCAAUCAUGAGAACUGAAGAGUGACUCUCAGCUCACAAUAGCAUGGGCUGGUCCUGAGCUGUUCAGGAUUUUGUGGGCUGGGUGGUGUAAAUCCUGGCCAGAUUCUCCUGGGAGGCAGCCAUACCCCCCGUGGGCAGGAAAACCUCCUGAGAGACUAAACAGGGCAAGCUUUUAAAAAAACAAAAUAAUUAGUAGAAGGAAGAGUGAGCACUUUCAAGGGGUCCCCUUCGGGGUCCUCACGCCUUUAACCACCCCUCCCUUCUUGGCUCACUGGUGAGUGUCAGCCCAGCGGGGACACAAAGAGAUCCCAGCUACAUAUCAGCAGCUCGCAAAGCAGAAGAAAGGCUCUGGUGUCCGGGCUUACUCCUGUUCCUUCAUCGUCUUAGAAAUAGGGACUUGGAGGCAAACAGUCCCAUUACAAUGACGAAGACUACUCUCAACAUGAUGCACCCAAAUGAAUGCAUUUACCAGUUUGAUGUCUGCCUUUCUUCCUGGUUUGUUGCAUUCCGUAGAAGCAGAUCCUGAUAAGAUGAUGAAGUGCACAUGUCUCUUGAGAAAAUGCUCUCAGGAGAAGGGGGGAAGGUAAGCCAGGUGCAGCAGAGGACUGAGCAAGGUUGGGGUCUCAGCUGGACACUUCUUGGACCUGUUCCCACGGGAGCUCUGGAGUAUGAACUGUACCACAGAAUUGUCUCACCUAGAGGGAGAAGCUUACUGCUGUUUUCAUGGCUCUGCAUGCCCGGGGAAAGAGGAAGGCCACAGGAAGGUGACAGCUGAGGCAGGGUAUAACAGCAGGUCCCCAGGGUGGGUCAUUCACUGGGCUGACAAUCCAGUUGAUGCUUGCUUGGGUUGGGGCUCUGUGCUAAUUUGGAUGCUGACAGCCAGGUGACAGCAGCAGAGGGAAAGUAAGCUGAGAAGCAGAGAGGGGGAACCUUGAAAUGAUGCCUCUAAACGAUGGUUGACUUGUUUGUGACAUCACACCCCUAAGGCAUAGCUCUUUCCCCUGGGAGGGAUGCUGAGUGGCAAGUAGGCAGGCUGGGUACAUUUCCUUUUGGGAUGUGGUAGCGACAGUGUCCUACAGAGUCAGACUGGUGGCUUUAACAUCACAGGGCUUUGUCCAGCUGGAUCCGGAUAUCCAUUUGUCUAGAUUCCAUUUUCUCUGCUUCCUUUUUUAUUCCAGUAGAUAUAGCAGGCUUUCUCCCUGUAGCCAUGCAGAAGAGAUACAACUCAGAGGUGAUUCCUCUCAAAGGACAUAUUAGAUUCUUGAAGAGAGUCUAACAGGUUUAAGUGGGUCAGAUGCCAUGACUCAACAGCUUCCCCUUGAUCCUUUAAUCUCACAUCUGAAGCAUAAGACCUAUCCAGGUUACUUGGGGCAGCACCACCAUUGUACCAUUAAGGCUUCUCUUUCAGAAGGAUGAAUAAUCCAUCUGCAGCACUAUUUUACACUCUAGUUCAAUUCAAGACUCUGAAUAUGAUUUAUAAGUGUGAGUGAUUAUUUUAAGAUCAACCAGGGUUAAGCCAGGGAAAUUCUGUCCUCUGGUAGGGAGCCUCAAUGACCAGACCACUGUAAAGCCCCAGGAAUGCCAAGAACUCUGAAGAAGAAAGAUUCACCUCUAAGUGAGUUGGAGGAGGCAAAGACAAAAAACAAAAAACAAACAGUACAGGCCUUAGACUAAGGAGUGUGGGAAUGAGUUUCACCUCCAUUUCCAGCAACUGCCACGCAUAGAGUCUCUUCCAAAAAUGCCGGUGGCCUCAAAGAAGAGACAGCUGCUUCCCCAGCCCCUCAUUCAUCACCUGCUUGCUGGCCUAGGACUGAUAAGACAGAUCCAGAUCAAAUUACCUGGCAGCUGGGAGAGCAAGGAGAUAAGGAAAGGCAAGCUUAGGAGAAGUUCAGUAGAGUAGCAAAGAUCAAAUUGUGUAUUAAAUUUUCCAGGAACUAAAACCUUGCUCCCUCUGCAAACCCAGGGGAGGCACCUCCAAUCAGUCAGCACCAAACAGUGUUCCCAGGAGAAAAGCAAUGCCUUCAGCUUCUACUAGGAAUUAAGAAAACAGAGUACUGAGACCAAUUUAUUAUCACGCAGUUGGAUGAUAGGAAAAUGAAAACAAAGGUUAGAGGUGAACAUUAUAGAGGAGCCGAGUGGCCAAUGGCCAGAGAAACUUCAGGCAACAGAAGGAACACUGGGCUGAGCAAAAGACUUGGAUUCUUGUUCUAGCUCCAUCUCUCUCCCUUUGAAAAUGCACUUGAACCCCUCUGGGCUUUAUUUUUUUUUAUUUAUUUAUUUAUUUAUUUAUUUAUUUAUUUAUUUAUUUAUUUAUAAAAUGGUGGGGUGAGGAUUUCUUCAAGCUAAGAUCUUCCUGGCUUGAAGCUCUUAAAAUUUCUUGUUACUGCAGUCUUCCUAAGACAUUCCAUCUGAUGGUUUAUUCUUUUGACUCUGCCAUUUUACUCAACUAAACCUCAAAAUUCUUGACUAUGGAAGCCUCCAGAGGUGUUGUUAAAGCUUUAACUCUUUCAUUAAAAGCCAUGUGACUUGCUUUAUCCAAUGGGAGGUUAGUAGAUGUGACACAAACAAAUGCUCGAAAGAGUACUUGCAUGUUUCCAUUUACGUUUCUGUUCUUGCCUUCUGUCAUCACCAUGACAACAUGCCCAGUCUGGCUCCUGGAGGAUGGGACACACAACGUGGGAACCGGCAAGUCACCAGAGUCAUCUCAGCCAAGAUCAACCAAUAGUCAAUUACCAGGAACGUGAGAGAAUUCUGAGACCAGGACUGCUCAGCCACCUCUGCCUAAAAUACCAACACACAGAACAGUAAAGUGAAUGGAUGUUUAUUAUCCUAAGCCACUAUAUUUUGAGAUUGUACCUCAUGCAGCACUAUUAUGACCAUAGGUGACUGAUAUAAAAAGUAAGGAAUUAUGAAUCAUAAGAAAAAGAUGAACCAAGGAAAGAAUCAGCUUUGAAGAGGUGGUAAACUAUGGGAGUUGGGUAUGCUUUUCUGCAAUGAUCUUGUCUUAUUUUCUUUUUUUUUAAAGGAAGGCCUACCUGAAUAAUUCUGUGCAGGAAGAUAAAAGCAAGAUUAGAGUGAGACCUAUUCAGGGAGGUGUCAUUUUGUGAGCAGUUCAUGACCAUACCCAAUAAUCAGGGUCUGUCUACAUAUCUGAAUUUUAAUCCUUACAUAUAUGGCCUUAGAUGAACUAAAAUAAUUAUAAGAAGUUGUGUCAUUGUAGACUUCUAUUAAUAAACAUAUACCUACAUAUAUACAUGUUUAUGCACAAGAAUCAGCCUGUAUAGGCAUAUUUACCUAGGCAUAUUCAUUGCAUAGUGCUCUCAUGGUUGUGACUUGGGUGGGUGUAGCAAAGUGACAGGCCAGGAUCUCACCACAUAGGAAGAACUUUGGUCUGGCCAAGACAGGGCCAGCUAGUGGCCUCCCUGCCAUUAGCUCUGUCUGCCACCCAAGACAGAAGAAGCCAACAGUCCAAAGGGACAUAGCAGCUUCAUUUUGGUUCUAGUUAGUGGUGCCAUAGAAGAGGAACAGGCAGAUAGGAUCUCAUCUAGGCCAUGAGACAAGCAAGAGUUCUCAAGAAGGGUAGACUCUUAGAAACAGGAGGCCAGUGAGACAUGGAUCUAAGAGGCAUAGCCAGGUAGAAGCAGCCCUAGUCAAUGGCUAGAAGUAUAAUAUCCCAAUAAAAGAGGCAUUCUUAGAAAGCUGGGCAGCAUCUCAGGACCAC